GAGAAUAGAAUAAGAAAUAAUAAAAAUAUAGAAGAUCGAUGUAUAGGCAAGUGUCAAAAUGAUAAGCAACCUAGGACGAGAGACGGAGCCAGAGAAAGGAAGCACAAAGUGCAGAGAAACGAGAGCGGUAGAGAAACGAGAGCGGUAGAGAAACGAGAGCGGGAGAGAAACGAAUUGGAGCGAUGACCACGAGAGACGAACGAAAAUCGGAGAGAGCUUUGGGGACGACGGAGAGAGAGAACGACACAGCGAUCAGUUUUUGGACGAAUGUUGACGAGAGCGGUCAUGAAGCACCAAGCAUCCUAAGCAUCUGAAGCACGAGACAGCAGUAAAAAAAAAAAGUAAAAUGAAAAAGGCGAAUGUUGUAAUUGGCGAGGAAAGUGGCGGAUAUCACGACAAUGGCGCAAACCACGCUCCCAGAUCGAAGACCAAUAAAGGAAACAAGUUACGGAAGACGCUAAAGUUGGAGAGAAAAAGAAAUAUGCUACUAGUCGCUAAACUCCAGAAGAUGAAGUUUAAGAACAAUCGACUGCAGAGGGCUAUGCCGUUUGAGGAAAGCAUUGACAUGGAACCACGACACUCGACCGCAAUUGACAUAGCGAUCAAUGGCAUUUCUGAAUUGAGGUAUAUUACAUGGAAACACAGAUCUGAUAAUUUUGAUGAUUAUUUCAGGUUGUCGAACAGAUGGCAGUAACUAUAAAUGGUGGUCACGAAACGAUAAUACCUAGUGGAUACAUCGUCGGUCGUAUAGCAAAUUCUACGUCGGUGGUUUUCCUGAUCGAUUCAGGAGCAGAGGUCAACACCGUUAACGAAAGUACCUUUGAUAAGCUUUAUAAUGAUGAAACUUCCAAGAAACAUAUAUAUUGUGUAUCAGAAGGUACCGAUAAACCGCUUCGCGCGUACGCCAGCCCGGGCAAGAUAAACGUUGUAGGAACUUUCGUAACGGAGCUUUUUAUUUCCGAGGAAAGGCCGUGUUUUUUCGAAAAAUUUUAUGUUAUCAAAGGCGGAAAGCGUUUACUUGGAAGGGAUACAGCCUUCGGUACAGUAUGUUGCAGUUAGGACCCAACGUCGUAGUCGAUCGUAGGGACGAUUACCAAAGUAGUGUUGUUAGAUUUCCAGGUGAAAUUUUAGCAGUAGCGACAAAGAAAGAAUUCCCAAAAUUCAAUGUUCCCCCGGUAAUUUUGUCGUAUGACAUUACCAAGCCACCAUCUCGCUAAAUAUUUACGAACAUUCCAUUGCCAUUUCGAGAGGAGACCGAACGUAGACUACAGGACCUUUUAGAUACAGGGAUUAUAGAGCUCGUUACAGAUUCAACGGAUAGGUCAUUCUUCUCUUCUUUACUAGUCGUCCCAAAAAGGUAAAGACGAUAUACGGCUAGUAGUGGAUCUAAGGGGCCCCAAUAAAUGUAUUAUAAGCACGCCUUUUAGAAUGCCAAAUUUGGAGGAAAUUCUGGCCGACCUUCAUGGUGCCAAAUAUUUUUCUAAUAUCGACCUUACAAGUGCGUUCUUCCAUGUAGAAAUCGCAAAACAAUCGCGGCAUCUAGCAAAUUUUUUUGCCGGAAAUGCUACUUACCGGUUCAAACGUCUACCAUUUGGUUUGUUCAACGCCCCUGACAUCUUUCAGGAAAUAUUACAAACAAAAAUAUUGUUGGGCUGUAGUGGACAAAAAUGUUACUUGGAUGAUAUUUUGAUACACGGAAAAACGAAAGAAGAACAUGAUAAAAACAUGAAAGCAGUUCUGGAUCGACUACAAAAUCAUAAUGUACGUAUUAACGACGACAAAUGCGUCUUCGAAAAAACCAAGUUAAGUUUGUAGGAUUUUUUAUGUCAGACAAGGGAAUGCGUGUCGAAGACGAAAAACUAAAAGCAGUUAGGAACUUCCGUCGACCGGAGACUGUGCUCGAAGUGAAAAGUUUCUUAGGAUUUAUGAAUUUUUCAGAGCGUUUCAUUUACAUGCGAGCAGACAAGACAAAACAUUUACGCGAGCUAGCAAAGUCGGAAUCAUUUUACUGGACAGAAUCAGAGGAGGAUGAAUUUGUUUACCUCAAGCACGAAGCGUUGAAGUCAAUUUCUAGAUUAGGAUACUUUAGCUACAAAGAUGAGACUGAGCUCUACGUAGACGCUUCUCCGGUGGGUUUAGGAGCGGCCCUGGUGCAAUUCGAUACUGAUAGUAAGUCACGAAUAAUUGCAUGCGCAUCAAAAGCUUUAACUAGAACCGAACAAAAGUAUCCUCAGAGACAGAGAGAGGCAUUGGCGAUAGUUUGGGGAGUAGAGCGAUUCUCAUUCUAUUUAACAAGCAAAACGUUUACCAUUCGACGAAGAUGACGAAAAACAUGUUCUGUAUACUUUAGGGGGAGGUCUUAUUAGCGUUUCUUGGAGGGAAAUCGAGGAGGCGUCAGAAAGGGACUUGGAACUUGACGCAGUAAGAAUAGCUAUUAGAUCUGGAAGUUGGCCUGACAAUUUUCGAAGGUACGAAGCAGAAAGGAAAUCCAUUCGUUCUCUGGGAUCAUUGAUCUUCAAGGACGAUAAGGUAAUACCACCAACUGAAUUAAGAUCAGAAAUAAUGCAAAUUGCUCAUAAAGGUCAUAUAGGUAUCUCGGCUAUGAAUUGCAUUUUGAGAGAAUAUUUUUGGUGGCCUAACAUGAACCCACCGGUACCUCUUACGAAUCGUACAUUGCCUGACGGCCCUUGGCAAGUCCUCCAAAUCGAUUUUUUUAUCAAUUCCUGGUUGUGGAACAGGCGAGUUUUUAGUAGUUGUCGAUACAUACUCAAGAUAUAUAGCCGUAAAUGAAAUGAAUAACAUAGACGCUAAGAGUACCAUUAUGGCCUUAAACAAAAUAUUUACUAUCUGGGGUUUACCUCUAACUAUUCAGAGCGAUAAUGGACCACCGUUUCAAAGUAGUGAAUUUACUCUUUACUGGGAAGAGAAAGGCGUAAAAUUUUACAAAAUCUAUACCCCUUAAUCCACAAUCUAACGGAGCCGUCGAAAGACAAAAUCAGAGAAUGUUCAAGGCGCUUGCAGCAGCCAAACAUGAAGGAGGCAGUUGGAAGGAAGCCCUAAACUCUUACGUACAUGUACAUAAUAACAUGAAACCACACGCCCGUCUAGGUAUAACACCUUUCGAGUUAUUAGUAGGAUGGCGAUAAAAAAUGGGGAUUUUGCCCGAGCCUUUGGGAAUCCAAAUUAGAUAACCACGUGGAUAGAUGUAACGUACGUGAGCAGGAUAAAUUCUCUAAAAUGAUUAGUAAAAAUAUGCAGACUCUCAUCGAGGGGCAAAAGACUCUAACAUUUCCGUGGGGGAUACGGUUUUUAUUUCAAUUUCCAAGAAAAAUAAGACGGAUGCUACAUUUUCCUUAGAAGAAUUUACAGUUUUGGCUCGACAGAGUGCGAAGGUAAUGCUACAGAACGGUCGAGGCGUACAAUACACCAGGAACGUGGCAGAUUGUAAGAAGGCAAUAAGACAACCAUUACCUAAGACAAAUCCAACGGUCAUACUCUCGAAAAGAAAUAACUCCGGGGAAGGGCAAGUACAGAUAUCGGAUGAUAGUCCAGAAUUUGCUUCACAAAAAAGACCAAGAAGGGAUAUUAGGAUGCCGAAUAAGCUGAGGGAUAUGGUUUUGUAUCAAAUUGAUCAAUAGAGUAGGAGUAGAGGCGAAUGUAGAGAAUAGAAUAAGAAAUAAUAAAAAUAUAGAAGAUCGAUGUA
Long non-coding RNA from Anopheles coluzzii, 3703 nucleotides. RefSeq lists it as uncharacterized. The transcript has 2 exons. The record is from RefSeq and is a predicted model, not a curated record. NCBI's taxonomy places the organism in Eukaryota, Metazoa, Arthropoda, Insecta, Diptera, Culicidae.